UACGUAGGGGGCUAGCGUUGUCCGGAAUCAUUGGGCGUAAAGCGCGUGUAGGCGGCCCGGUAAGUCCGCUGUGAAAGUCGGGGGCUCAACCCUCGGAUGCCGGUGGAUACUGUCGGGCUCGAGUACGGAAGAGGCGAGUGGAAUUCCUGGUGUAGCGGUGAAAUGCGCAGAUAUCAGGAGGAACACCAAUUGCGAAGGCAGCUCGCUGGGACGUUACUGACACUGAGACGCGAAAGCGUGGGGAGCAAACAGG
Molecule: ribosomal RNA, 253 nt
Filed under: uncultured bacterium
Lineage: Bacteria
Description: partial 16S ribosomal RNA
Rfam family: Bacterial small subunit ribosomal RNA
Source: RNAcentral